GAAUAUUGCUCAAUGGGCGCAAGCCUGAAGCAGCGACGCCGCGUGGGCGAUGAAGGUCUUCGGAUCGUAAAGCCCUUUUCUGCGUGACGAGAAAGGACGGUAGCGCAGGAAGAAGUCUCGGCUAACUACGUGCCAGCAGCCGCGGUAAAACGUAGGAGACGAGCGUUAUCCGGAAUUACUGGGCGUAAAGCGCGAGUAGGCGGCUAUUUAAGUGGUCUGUGAAAGCGUCCGGCUCAACUGGACGAGGCCGGAUCAGACUGGAUGGCUGGAGGGUCAGAGAGGCAGGCGGAAUUCCGGGUGUAGUGGUGAAAUGCGUAGAGAUCCGGAGGAACACCAGUGGCGAAGGCGGCCUGCUGGCUGACAACUGACGCUGAGGCGCGAAAGCAUGGGGAGCGAACGGG
This 401-nucleotide ribosomal RNA is filed under the name uncultured bacterium. RNAcentral describes it as "bacterial SSU rRNA". It matches the Rfam family "Bacterial small subunit ribosomal RNA", at positions 359 to 776 of the family's 1533-position model. The record is from RNAcentral.